Molecule: long non-coding RNA, 566 nt
Filed under: Phoenix dactylifera (date palm)
Lineage: Eukaryota; Viridiplantae; Streptophyta; Magnoliopsida; Arecales; Arecaceae
Description: long non-coding RNA (PDAC_LNC000483)
Source: RNAcentral
AAAAAAUAGUCAACGGACGACUAAAAAAUUGUAUAGAAGAGCAAGACUGAUCCCCACACACAAAAAACAAAACAAGAAAAGAAAGAAAGAAAGAAAAUUAGAUGAUAGUUUCACAAGCUUCGUUGGUUUUGAUUACCAGUCUCGGCCGACAUAAACGAAUGUCUUAUAUGCUUCUCUAGAUGAAACCGACCAACCUUUUGGCUUUUUCCUUAAGUUUUCAACUAGCAUUGUAAGAUGUUCGCCGGGUCUAAAAAGGAUUCAUACUUAACGGAGAGAUGGGCCAUUUGAUUGGAUCCGUCAAAGAAUUUCCUGGUCUUUUCUUUUUUUUUUUAAUUCUUUUUCAAUGCUACGGGACACAAAUAAAUUGAAAAAAAAAGAGAAUAAGAUGUCACGAUUCAAGACCUUAUUCAAAAUGGCUAGUCGGAAGGUAUUAUUUGAGUUUCUUGAUCCUGUAUAAGUACCCAAGAUUUCUUCGGCAAAUAACCGAUGUGAGACUCAACAAACACACCCGCACCCGCACAGGUCUUCACAUACUCUCCCGUUCAAGCCCUGAUGUUCUCGUCAGG